Long non-coding RNA from Solanum stenotomum, 1159 nucleotides. RefSeq lists it as uncharacterized. The record is from RefSeq and is a predicted model, not a curated record. The transcript is spliced from 6 exons. NCBI's taxonomy places the organism in Eukaryota, Viridiplantae, Streptophyta, Magnoliopsida, Solanales, Solanaceae.
CAAAGCUCCAACUUGGUUGACUAAAUUUGCAUCUCUUAAUGUCCUUGCUGUGAGAGAGGAAUCUUGAAAUGCUUACCCAAACUAUGAUCAGUGAGAUCACUUCUGAAGGGUAGCAGAUAACAAAACUUGAUCAGAUAUUGCUUAAUGGAAAAAUAUAACACUAUGUCAGAGAAGAAACAACGGCGCUGGUGUCAUUGGAUUCACCGGCAGCAUCGGCAAAGAUGUCUGGAAGUUUGGCGUCAAAUCCGUCAGCGGUGACAUCAAUCAUCAAUGUGAUAGAGCUCUGUCAUGCAUGUGUUGACCGUUAAUUUCGCUGCCGAAGAAAGGAAGUAUGCCUACCUCAAGGUCACUCGGAAAUCUCUCCAAGUAUCCGUCCAUAGCUUAUAAUACAAUUUAGUAUACUUCUUCUCUUGUUAGUGUCAAUUUUGUUGAAGAUUUGGUACAUAUUGGUUAAAAUAUUUGCUUGUAUAGGUUUGUCGAUAAAUUUUUUUGAAUAUUUUUUCAAUUACUUGGCAUUCGGUUUCCAUGUGUUUGAUUACCGGCAGAUGCUGUGUCGAAGGAGGUCUAUGCACAAGUGUCACUAAUUCCUGAUAAUCAGUUCUCUCGUUGUCUCACCCUCCAGUUUCUCAAAUCCGGUGAAGUUCUUCCAAUCGAACCAUGAAAUCUUGAAUCAGUUGGUGUAUUACUUGCAUCAACAAGAUAUGGAAGCGGCAGCGCUGCACAAGUGACACCCUUCAUUAGCCAGGGUGUUGACUGACUGGCUUUCAUUCGGAAAUGCGCGCCCAUUGUUGUUAUCCUUGGAGAGUUGAUGUUGCUUCCAUACAAAUGCAGCUCAGUACCUAAAACACUGAUUGACCAUUUUUGUGAUGAACGACAAUCGAAUGGCGAGCAAUUUCAGCUAUACCUUGCAUCAAACCAACAAUUCAAGAUUGUCACUACUUAUUAACACGCUUGAGUUUCACAGGACUGAUAAAGAUAUUACUCCUAUUGGUGGAUUUCCCCAUUAUGGUGUGGUGAUGGUUGAUUACCUGUUGAUCAAGGGAUGUUGUUUUGUCCUAAGAAGACGCUAAAAAAAAUAUUAGGUAAAAAAACUAACCAUCUUCCAUGACCAAAACCUAGAGUUGUUGGAAUGUGUAUGUGUAAUUGUUGUAGGAUACAA